Non-coding RNA from Anopheles maculatus, 47 nucleotides. The record is from Rfam. Lineage: Eukaryota; Metazoa; Arthropoda; Insecta; Diptera; Culicidae.
AAAACGGCCCCUUUUCAGGGCCACCAAUCUGUUUGCAAAAGAUGUUU